CCGAGGCUCCCGGAAAGUUGCCGGCGCGUGAAGGAACCUGGGAUUGAUUCUAGGGGACUUCUGGGAGAAAGAGGGCUCGCCAGGAGCAAAGGGGCGCAAAAUUCGAUUUCGCUGCAGGCGCUCAGCCUCUGGGAGGAAAGAGUCGGGGGAGAUGUUGAUCUCCCAGACCUUCCAUCCUGUUUGCCUCCUGGCGCUGUCAUUGCUGAGGUGCUGCUGAAAGAACCUGGUUCGCCUUGGAAUUUUAGUGGUGACUUCGAAUUUGAACUGGCCACUGCAUCAAGCUCUUCUUUUUUUUCUGGGAGAUAGGAUUGCUCUGGUGAUGAUACAUUGGGAUAAUUUUAACUGUUUUCUCCCAAGAGAAUGAUUUGGCACAAAUAACUUUGUUUCAUCUCCUGGUUAUAUAUUAAAAUUGUUUUUCCAGGGAAUAUUCCAGGAAAACUUCUGUCAUUUUCGGUUUUAUUGUUUUUAUGUAACUAGAUGUUUCUGUAGGUCUUUUCAGACUAACUUCAUCUCUUGUACUUUACCUACUGCUGAAAUGAAAACAUUUUUGUUCAGUAUGUCUGUUGCUAAAUGUUAUGAUGUGCUGUGUGUUUAUAAGCAAGUCCUGAAGGCCUGUUAUGUGUAUAAUUAUAUGAUAUGUGUUAGUAUUUGAAAAAGUUGAUAAUCUUCCAUGAAUUUGAGUUCAUGCCUUUUGAUAUUUCUUGCAUAGUAUAUUAAAUUGUAUAGGGUUUUGCUUGCUGUAAUAGUGUUUAAUUUUGUUGCUUGAAUGAAUAUGAGUAUUAAAUUUGUCAUACGUGGAGCAGUCUUCUAAAAGAUGGGCCUUAAAGCAGUUGAAUGUACCGUGGUGGUGUGUUUGGUGUGGAAAAUCAUAGCGGUUGUCUAAUGCUAGACAUAGAUUCAGAAUAUAAGGAUAAAAAUAUUUUAAGGACACUGCACAGGAUACAAAGAGGUUUGAAUAUUGUACAGUCAAGGCUACAAACAUAAAAACAAGUAAGAAAAUUCAGGAAGUUUUCUUGGUAUUGCCUGAGUCACUGGAGCAAUUGGCAGUAGUAAGUAGUACCUGCAGCCACAGUCCAGACUCUGAGGAAGAAGAACUUCUAAAAAAUCUGCGACCAAUACUAAGCCAAGAAGGUUGGUCUACAAAGAAGCUAAAUGUUAUAAUUAAGUUCAGAAAUGAAGCUUGAUAUGUGUAUAAAGCUGAGGCUAUUCUUUCCAUCAAAUCAGUCACUGGAUCAACUUAUAUUACAGGUGAAUCUGAAGAAAUUGUUAUGUAUCCAAGCCAUAGUGCUAGAGAUUGCUCAUGUGAAAUGUGCUUUGCAUGUUUGAGUAAUUUUUAUUUCAUUUUGCUGUCAUGUUUACUUAUGGAUUUAUGUUUACAUUCUAACAAUGUUUGUUAUUGCUUUCCUCAUUGCUUAUUUGCUUAUACACUAAUGACUAUAAUUAUUCUAUUUUUAUAAGCGUAUUUAUAUUGUUAUAUCUAGUUUGCUUUGCUGGUUAUGAUUAUUUCUUGUGAACUAUGAAUAUGCAUG
Molecule: long non-coding RNA, 1529 nt
Organism: Vombatus ursinus (common wombat)
Lineage: Eukaryota; Metazoa; Chordata; Mammalia; Diprotodontia; Vombatidae
Exons: 3
Source: RefSeq, a predicted model, not a curated record